Molecule: ribosomal RNA, 736 nt
Filed under: Pseudomonas sp. 120221_PC_C1_D2
Lineage: Bacteria; Pseudomonadati; Pseudomonadota; Gammaproteobacteria; Pseudomonadales; Pseudomonadaceae
Also listed under: 2 other names
Description: bacterial SSU rRNA
Rfam family: Bacterial small subunit ribosomal RNA
Source: RNAcentral
UGGCUCAGAUUGAACGCUGGCGGCAGGCCUAACACAUGCAAGUCGAGCGGCAGCACGGGUACUUGUACCUGGUGGCGAGCGGCGGACGGGUGAGUAAUGCCUAGGAAUCUGCCUGGUAGUGGGGGAUAACGUUCGGAAACGAACGCUAAUACCGCAUACGUCCUACGGGAGAAAGCAGGGGACCUUCGGGCCUUGCGCUAUCAGAUGAGCCUAGGUCGGAUUAGCUAGUUGGUGAGGUAAUGGCUCACCAAGGCGACGAUCCGUAACUGGUCUGAGAGGAUGAUCAGUCACACUGGAACUGAGACACGGUCCAGACUCCUACGGGAGGCAGCAGUGGGGAAUAUUGGACAAUGGGCGAAAGCCUGAUCCAGCCAUGCCGCGUGUGUGAAGAAGGUCUUCGGAUUGUAAAGCACUUUAAGUUGGGAGGAAGGGCAGUUACCUAAUACGUAAUUGUUUUGACGUUACCGACAGAAUAAGCACCGGCUAACUCUGUGCCAGCAGCCGCGGUAAUACAGAGGGUGCAAGCGUUAAUCGGAAUUACUGGGCGUAAAGCGCGCGUAGGUGGUUCGUUAAGUUGGAUGUGAAAUCCCCGGGCUCAACCUGGGAACUGCAUUCAAAACUGUCGAGCUAGAGUAUGGUAGAGGGUGGUGGAAUUUCCUGUGUAGCGGUGAAAUGCGUAGAUAUAGGAAGGAACACCAGUGGCGAAGGCGACCACCUGGACUGAUACUGACACUGA